UCAAAAGUAAAUUUUAAAACCGAAGGCUAUAGAUCAUUGAGGGAAGAGUUGUGUGUGUAUUUGACUUGACGCGCUACUACCUCUUUGCUUUGUGAUUUUUUAAGGAGGUUGUUUUUCUUUUGAAAUAGUAAAUUUUAUUAAACAACCAUAUCUCUCCUCAAGACGAUCAGAGACGGUGAAAUUGUUGGAACAAAAUGUGUUUAACAAUAAUAACCCUUAAGAGUUUUGAAGA
Molecule: long non-coding RNA, 232 nt
Filed under: Medicago truncatula (barrel medic)
Lineage: Eukaryota; Viridiplantae; Streptophyta; Magnoliopsida; Fabales; Fabaceae
Description: long non-coding RNA (MTRU_LNC002265)
Source: RNAcentral